GCAAAGUUAGAAGACGAACAGGCGAUUUCCAAACGGGUGUUCGAAACUGCAAACGUAGGUGCUAUCACUACCACGGGGGAUGUGUUGAGGUUUGCAGGAAGAAUGAUAUCAUCUCAAGACCUAGUGUUACUGUCUGUGAAGAUAGAACCGGGGUCUACGCUAGUCAUAGCGAACUGUCAGAAUAUGGCGGUCGCUUCAUUACUAGCUAAUGAAGUCGCUCAAGCAUUCUCCAAAUCAUGAGGUCCAGAUAGACAAGGCAAGAAUAUGCGCCAUCUAGCAGCCAGUAAUGAAGUUAUAUAUCAAUUAAAAUGAUCUCCGCUACUUGGAUUCAAUGCGAGCGAAGCCGCAGAUGAAAGCUAGUGUUUAUAUAUAAAAUCCUGUAAAUUAAAAAUAUCAGACAAUUUACACAGCGCCAUCUGUAUAAUCAGAUACAUAUAUAUUUUGUCAUCAAUCAUACACAUGAAACCCGUCAACAUUGCAAGUAGAGCUGCUCUAAAGCGACGAAAUGUCAUAAAUUAUAUCUAAAAUACACUGAUUUGGUUUAUUGUCGUCGCUAUGCAUUGUUUAUAUAUUAUACUUUGCAUUAGAAUAUCUUAAUUGAACAAAAUUGAUAUAAUUUUAACCUUAGAUUAAGACAUGUUUAAAGAAUUUUCAAGUCCGUUAAAAUACUCUUGAGAUUCUCUA
Long non-coding RNA from Achroia grisella, 684 nucleotides. RefSeq lists it as uncharacterized. The record is from RefSeq and is a predicted model, not a curated record. NCBI's taxonomy places the organism in Eukaryota, Metazoa, Arthropoda, Insecta, Lepidoptera, Pyralidae. The transcript is spliced from 3 exons.